Long non-coding RNA from Vitis vinifera (wine grape), 268 nucleotides. RefSeq lists it as uncharacterized. The transcript is spliced from 3 exons. The record is from RefSeq and is a predicted model, not a curated record. NCBI's taxonomy places the organism in Eukaryota, Viridiplantae, Streptophyta, Magnoliopsida, Vitales, Vitaceae.
UAGUACAGGAUUUGAAGGAAUUUUAGUUGGAGUUGUGGAACUCUCUCACUUGGGAUAUAUAAAACAACCAAACUAUGUCUACUAAACAAGGUAAUGCAAGCAAGAGAUUUCUUGGAGAAGAAAUGGCACGAGAUGCCGAGGAGGAAGGCGGAACAAGGACAUCAAAAGAGUCAUCAUUAACUUCAUCUGAUGGAAUCAGCUACCCACAGCAGAAUCCAUUCAACUCCGAUAUGGACAAUGUUCCUCGAGCAACAGGCUUGUCCAUGAU